Molecule: ribosomal RNA, 468 nt
Filed under: uncultured bacterium
Lineage: Bacteria
Description: partial 16S ribosomal RNA
Rfam family: Bacterial small subunit ribosomal RNA
Source: RNAcentral
GACGAACGCUGGCGGCGUGCUUAACACAUGCAAGUCGAACGGAAAGGCCCUGCUUUUGUGGGGUGCUCGAGUGGCGAACGGGUGAGUAACACGUGAGUAACCUGCCCUUGACUUUGGGAUAACUUCAGGAAACUGGGGCUAAUACCGGAUAGGAGCUCCUGCUGCAUGGUGGGGGUUGGAAAGUUUCGGCGGUUGGGGAUGGACUCGCGGCUUAUCAGCUUGUUGGUGGAGUAGUGGCUUACCAAGGCUUUGAAGGGUAGCCGGCCUGAGAGGGGGACCGGGCACAUUGGGACUGCGAUACGGCCCAGACUCCUACGGGAGGCAGCAGUGGAGAAUAUUGCACAAUGGGCGGAAGCCUGAUGCAGCAACGCCGCGUGCGGGAUGACGGCCUUCGGGUUGUAAACCGCUUUCGCCUGUGACGAAGCGUGAGUGACGGUAAUGGGUAAAGAAGCACCGGCUAACUACGUG